RNAcentral lists this ribosomal RNA (1437 nucleotides) under Triticum aestivum (bread wheat). Its description in RNAcentral is "partial small subunit ribosomal RNA". The record is from RNAcentral. Lineage: Eukaryota; Viridiplantae; Streptophyta; Magnoliopsida; Poales; Poaceae.
AUGGAACCAAAGGAGAACCUGUUGGAGAUGGAGGUGGCGGAGGUGCCAGAGGAUCUGAGCAUCACGCUCGCCCAAAAGAUCAGCUUGGCUACGCAGCAAACUCGCCACGUGAAAGCAAAGGCCACAAAGGAGGAGAAGCUCAAGAAGUGGAUGGCCACCGGUGGGCCUGGGUGGCGUCGGGCGUGCUAUACAUGGUGGACAUCGCGGCGGUGGAUGCGGUGCCCAAACGGGCGCGCCCACGAUACAAACGGUGUCGUGGCCGAAGCAUUACAAGCCUCCGUACUUCUACGCUGCCAAGCAGCUCCAAACCCCCGCUGGGAAGGUCUCGUCCGGGAGCGGACAACGGGCGGGGAGCAGAUGGGUGCCUGCACGCUGUUUGCUACAAUGCCUAGAGCGGGGGAGCCCACAUAUGAUGAGAAGGACAUGGAGAUGCUCAACAUCAUCCAUGACGAAGGCGAAGGAGGAGGAUGUGGCUAUGAGGACGAGCAGGUGGAAGACUCAGAUCUCACCCAGUCCGACAACUACCGGCAGCAGCUGUCCUACACCCAGGCGGGCACGCAACAGUCCUACACCCAGCCAAGACCGCCACCCAAGCCAUCCAGGAAGAAACCAGUGACCCUAACGACCAAACCCAAGAACCGUCGAAGAAGGUUAGAAGAUUUUUACCGGGGAAGAAGUGGGAGGAGGAGAGGGCGAAGCGAGAAGGUGGCGGCCAAGCUGGCGGAGAGGUUCGAGGACAUCUUGGCGAAGAAGGAGGAGGCAUGCAUGAAGAACUCAAACAUUAAGGAGGGGCAAAGGGUGGAGAGGUUCAAAUUGUUGAUGGAGGCGAGAGGACAAGAAGCUCAAGUUCGAAGAGAGGAGGACCAUGAUCGAAGAGGAAGGCCGAGCUCGAGGAAAAGAAUAAUCGUGCAAUCCGUCUGCUACCAAAUGUUGCAGUACUCGGCAUGGCCUGCAAGAACACCAUCGUCGUUGCUAUCUCUGCUAUCUUUAUGUUGGCGCUCCUCAUGUCUUGUGAUACAGUUCAAGGGGAGUGCAAAAGGACGGAGGUCAAUACUAAUUUACCAUGUCGUAACCCCCAGAUAUGUCGUCGGUGGUGCUAUUCCGGCAAAUUCACCGGCGGCGGGUACUGCGAAAUUCAGGGUGAUAGAGCAUUUUGCGUGUGCGUGGGUUGUACGCCGCCAACAUAAAAUUGCUCAAAGUGAUCCAGAGCAAAGAAGAUCUUGCACCGGAAGGAGUUAUAUCAGGGAGAUCUGCGACUUUGCCCGCUUAAAUUUUUCAAGCAUUUCUUUUUCUUUCCUCACACGGGCGUGUAAUAAAGUAGCACAUUACCUUGCGGCGUAUGGCUCACGGUCCCAGGUCGGCCGCCAAGUUUUGGCGGAAAGCCUGCCCGACGAUGUAAACGUUUGGAUGGCCAGCUUUGUUGCUGAGCCUGUGUGA